Molecule: ribosomal RNA, 498 nt
Filed under: uncultured soil bacterium
Lineage: Bacteria
Description: bacterial SSU rRNA
Rfam family: Bacterial small subunit ribosomal RNA
Source: RNAcentral
AGAGUGAACGCUGGCGGCAGGCCUAACACAUGCAAGUCGAACGGCAGCACAGUAAGAGCUUGCUCUUAUGGGUGGCGAGUGGCGGACGGGUGAGGAAUACAUCGGAAUCUGCCUAUUUGUGGGGGAUAACGUAGGGAAACUUACGCUAAUACCGCAUACGACCUACGGGUGAAAGCGGAGGACCUUCGGGCUUCGCGCAGAUAGAUGAGCCGAUGUCGGAUUAGCUAGUUGGUGGGUAAAGGCCCACCAAGGCGACGAUCCGUAGCUGGUCUGAGGGGAUGAUCAGCCACACUGGAACUGAGACACGGUCCAGACUCCGUACGGGAGGCAGCAGGUGGGGAAUAGUUAGGACAAGUGGGACGACGAAGCCUGAUCCAGCCAGUCGCCGCGUGAGUGAAGACGGUCCGUUGGUUAGUAAAGUCGUUACGUUUUUGGUAGGGAAAGAAAAGUCUAAAGUUCGGUUAAACGUUACCCGGUUGUUACGUAGGAACCGUAACC